UGAGAGGGCCGCUUCCUGCUUUCUCCUCUCCCUCCUUUCCUCCUUCCGCCCUCCAUUCCUCUGUCCUCCUUCCUUCUUUCCCUCCCUCCCUUCUUCCUUUCUUCCUUCUUCUACCGUGAAUGAAGAACUCCACUAGGCUUUGAAGUUGCGGAAAACGAGUGCUUCAAGUUCACCAGUCUGUUGGUGAAGAGCAAGGAUAGGAGAGGACAAAUUAUUCAACAUAGAAUAAAGUCAGCACCAGCUAUCUACCCUCUAAAAGUCGAAUUUACCUGUGAGAGGAGAGAACAUCAAGGGCUGCAAUAUGCUGAGCUUUCCAAGAAAACUGCUUUGAAGGGAACAGCUUUUGCUUGGAUGGAUGGAGGCCUGGCCUCAAGUUGUAAAUUGCCUGAAAGAUGCUUCCUGUUGUCAUUCUCUGUGGUUGUGCUUUUGCUUCUCUUUAGGGUUAAGAACAGCUGUUCACUAACCCACCCACAUAUUUGGAAAAACA
This is a long non-coding RNA of Sapajus apella (tufted capuchin), 487 nucleotides long. RefSeq lists it as uncharacterized. The record is from RefSeq and is a predicted model, not a curated record. Lineage: Eukaryota; Metazoa; Chordata; Mammalia; Primates; Cebidae. The transcript has 3 exons.